This 100-nucleotide small RNA is filed under the name Enterovibrio norvegicus DSM 15893. Its description in RNAcentral is "t44 RNA". The stretch from base 11 to 99 matches the Rfam family "t44 RNA". Rfam says of the family: This family consists of a number of bacterial RNA genes of between 135 and 170 bases in length. The t44 gene is found between the map and rpsB genes in all species in the full alignment apart from Shigella flexneri. Lineage: Bacteria; Pseudomonadati; Pseudomonadota; Gammaproteobacteria; Vibrionales; Vibrionaceae. The record is from RNAcentral.
GGGUAUUUCAUUAUUGAUUAAUAUAACUCACACACAUAUCGACACAUGCUCCGGGGUGCCCGUUUAGGGUCGGAUGUAUGGGAUAUGUGGAGGCCUAACC